GAGUUUGAUCCUGGCUCAGAGCGAACGCUGGCGGCGUACUUAACACAUGCAAGUCGAACGAGGAUCAUCGGUGUAGCAAUACAUUGGCGGUCCUAGUGGCGCACGGGUGAGUAACACGUGGGUAACCUGCCCUUGAGACUGGGAUACCCCCUCGAAAGGGGGGCUAAUACCGGAUACGUUCCUCGGAUCGAAAGGUCUGAGGAGGAAAGGUGGCGAAAGCUGCCGCUCUUGGAGGGGCUCGCGGCCUAUCAGCUAGUUGGCGGGGUAACGGCCCACCAAGGCUAUGACGGGUAGCUGGUCUGAGAGGACGACCAGCCACACGGGGACUGAGACACGGCCCCGACUCCUACGGGAGGCAGCAGUGGGGAAUUUUCCGCAAUGGGCGAAAGCCUGACGGAGUGACGCCGCGUGUGGGACGAAGGCCUUCGGGUCGUAAACCACUGUCAGUGGGAAAGAUGGGUGUCGGCGUGAUAACCGCCGGCAUUUGACGGUACCUGCAGAGGAAGCCCCGGCUAACUCUGUGCCAGCAGCCGCGGUAAUACAGAGGGGGCAAGCGUUAUUCGGAAUUAUUGGGCGUAAAGGGCGCGUAGGCGGCCAUUCAAGUGACGGGUGAAAGCCCUCGGCUUAACCGAGGAACUGCCUGUCAGACUGGAUGGCUCGAGACCGGGAGAGGUGAGUGGAAUUCCCAGUGUAGCGGUGAAAUGCGUAGAUAUUGGGAGGAACACCAGUGGCGAAGGCGGCUCACUGGACCGGAACUGACGCUGAUGCGCGAAAGCGUGGGGAGCAAACAGGAUUAGAUACCCUGGUAGUCCACGCCGUAAACGAUGAGUGCUUGGUGUAGCGGGUAUCGACCCCUGCUGUGCCGAAGUCAACACAUUAAGCACUCCGCCUGGGGAGUACGGUCGCAAGACUGAAACUCAAAGGAAUUGACGGGGGCCCGCACAAGCGGUGGAGCAUGUGGUUUAAUUCGAAGCAACGCGCAGAACCUUACCUGGGUUUGAACUGUACAGGCAAAUCUCAGAGAUGAGAGCCCCUCUUCGGAGGACUGUACAGAGGUGCUGCACGGCUGUCGUCAGCUCGUGUCGUGAGAUGUUGGGUUAAGUCCCGCAACGAGCGCAACCCUUAUUCACAGUUACUAACGGGUAGAGCCGAGAACUCUGUGGAGACUGCCGGUGAUAAACCGGAGGAAGGUGGGGAUGACGUCAAGUCCUCAUGGCCUUUAUGUCCAGGGCUACGCACGUGCUACAAUGGACGGUACAGAGAGUCGCGAGACCGCGAGGUGGAGCUAAUCUCGGAAAGCCGUUCUCAGUUCGGAUUGCACUCUGCAACUCGAGUGCAUGAAGUUGGAAUCGCUAGUAAUCGCGGAUCAGCACGCCGCGGUGAUACGUUCCCGGGCCUUGUACACAC
RNAcentral lists this ribosomal RNA (1407 nucleotides) under uncultured bacterium. Its description in RNAcentral is "bacterial SSU rRNA". It matches the Rfam family "Bacterial small subunit ribosomal RNA". The record is from RNAcentral.